GUUAAAGUAAUUUAAUAAAAAUAUUGAUUUUGUAAAUCAAAAUUGGUUUAACCUUUUAACA
Molecule: transfer RNA, 61 nt
Filed under: Haemaphysalis danieli
Lineage: Eukaryota; Metazoa; Arthropoda; Arachnida; Ixodida; Ixodidae
Description: tRNA-Thr
Source: RNAcentral